RNAcentral lists this ribosomal RNA (1288 nucleotides) under metagenome. RNAcentral describes it as "bacterial LSU rRNA". It matches the Rfam family "Bacterial large subunit ribosomal RNA", at positions 1602 to 2925 of the family's 2925-position model. The record is from RNAcentral.
GUAGUGCCAAGAAAAGCGAUGAUCAUGUUGAAAAUCAAUUCCCGGUACCCGAAACCGACACAGGUGGGCAAGUAGAGAAUACUAAGGGGCGCGAGGUAACUCUCUCCAAGGAACUCGGCAAAAUGACCCCGUAACUUAGGGAGAAGGGGUGCCACCGAGAGGUGGUCGCAGUGAAGAGGCCCAGGCGACUGUUUAGCAAAAACAUAGGUCUCUGCAAACUCGAAAGAGGAGGUAUAGGGGCUGACGCCUGCCCAGUGCCGGAAGGUUAAAGAAGUUGGUCAGUUUUAGGAUGAAGCUAGCGACUGAAGCCCCGGUGAACGGCGGCCGUAACUAUAACGGUCCUAAGGUAGCGAAAUUCCUUGUCGGGUAAGUUCCGGCCCGCACGAAAGGCGUAACGAUCUGGGCGCUGUCUCGGAGAGAGGCUCGGCGAAAUAGGAUUGUCUGUGAAGAUACGGACUACCUGCAUUUGGACAGAAAGACCCUAUGAAGCUUUACUAUAGCUUGGAUUUGUGUUCGGGCUUCCUGUGCGCAGGAUAGGUGGGAGGCGUAGAAGGUAUUCUUGUGGGGAUACCGGAGCCAACGGUGAGAUACCACUCUCAGGAGGCUAGAAUUCUAACUUAAUUAAGGACAGUUUCAGGUGGGUAGUUUGACUGGGGCGGUCGCCUCCAAAAAGGUAACGGAGGCGUACAAAGGUUCCCUCAGACUGGUUGGAAAUCAGUCGAAGAGUGCAAAGGCAGAAGGGAGCUUGACUGCGAGAAGUACAGUUCGAGCAGGGUGGAAACACGGUCUUAGUGAUCCGACGGUGCUGUGUGGAAGGGCCGUCGCUCAACGGAUAAAAGUUACUCUAGGAUAACAGGCUGAUCUCCCCCAAGAGUUCACAUCGACGGGGAGGUUUGGCACCUCGAUGUCGGCUCAUCGCAACCUGGGGCGGAAGUACGUCCCAAGGGUUGGGCUGUUCGCCCAUUAAAGCGGUACGUGAGCUGGGUUCAGAACGUCGUGAGACAGUUCGGUCCAUAUCCGAUGUAGGCGUGAGAAUAUUGAGAGGAGCCUUCCUUAGUACGAGAGGACCGGGAAGGACGCACCGCUGGUGUACCUGUUAUGAUGCCAAUUGUAAACGCAGGGUAGCCAAGUGCGGAGAGGAUAACCGCUGAAAGCAUCUAAGUGGGAAGCCCACCUCAAGAUGAGUAUUCUGGUGUAAGGUCACGGGAAGACGACCCGUAAAUAGGCACGAGGUGGAAGUGCGGAGAUGUAUGAAGCCGAAGUGUACUAAUAGACCGUCGGCUUGACC